UCUAUUAAUAGUGACUCGCCUCUCAUUUUCCAGCUCGAACCGAUCCUCGCCUGCGACUCCUGGGAGGCGACCUCGCGAGGGCGAUUAGGGUUUUCGCCGCUACCGACCUGCCGCCGCUGCCCGUCGUCAUGCGGAGAAUACGAUGCGAAGCUCCGAGAUCCUUCUCUCUCUCAAGAUCGAGUCUAGGUAGCCACGAUGAGCUGAUCGAGGCAGCCUCCGGACCUCAAGAACAGGUACAUGGACAAGAAGCUUCAGAGUAAAGUCAAAAUUUCUGAGGAAAUCUUUGUAGUUGUAGCUCCAGGAUGACUAUGCCUACACUGUCAAUAAGCAAUCGAUAUUAUUCGAUCUUACUCCUAUUUUGAGGUCUGUAAAAAUAAGAUAUUAGAAACAGAAAAAGAUAAGCAAUCGAUAUUAUUCCUACGAUAGUAAGUUUAGCUUAAACAAUUUAUCCCGAGUGAUCAAAUUUUUUGGGGCUGCAAUGCCGGAGUAUAUUGAUCUUGCGACAUAAAAACCUUUUGAUUGGUCAUUGCUUACAUUAUGCACAAAGAUGUAUUAGCUUGUUGGGAUCUUGCCAAUGAUCAUAAUUUUGGUGGAUUUCGAGUCAUUUGCAGAGGGACGUGAGCAUGGCGAUCUCCGGUUUUUGUUCUGUUGUUAGACUUCACAAGAUCUUGGUGAUUGUUCUUGAAAGCACUUCACUGGAAGCUCUCCAGAGUUCGACAGUCAUACACUGUGUCCAAGUUCAGAAAAACUGCAACUUGAAGGAUAGCUGCAAGUUGAAUUAUUUGCUCUACGAAUCUGCUGUAUUGUGACGAAUGUCCAUUUCAAACAUUGAAUUGUAGUUGUUAUGACCGGAUGAACAGCUAAAAAAGUUUAUGCGCACAU
Molecule: long non-coding RNA, 882 nt
Organism: Phragmites australis (common reed)
Lineage: Eukaryota; Viridiplantae; Streptophyta; Magnoliopsida; Poales; Poaceae
Exons: 3
Source: RefSeq, a predicted model, not a curated record